This 784-nucleotide ribosomal RNA is filed under the name uncultured bacterium. RNAcentral describes it as "bacterial SSU rRNA". It matches the Rfam family "Bacterial small subunit ribosomal RNA", at positions 48 to 872 of the family's 1533-position model. The record is from RNAcentral.
GCUACACAUGCAAGUCCGACGGGAGCUUCGGCUCCAGUGGCGGACGGGUGAGUAACGCGUGAGAAUCUACCUUCAGGAUGGGGACAACCGUUGGAAACGACGGCUAAUUCCCAAUGUGCCGAAAGGUGAAAGGUUUCGACCGCCUGAAGAGGAGCUCGCGUCCGAUUAGUUGGUUGGUGAGGUAAAGGCUCACCAAGGCAGCGAUCGGUAGCUGGUCUGAGAGGACGAUCAGCCACACUGGGACUGAGACACGGCCCAGACUCCUACGGGAGGCAGCAGUGGGGAAUCUUCCGCAAUGGGCGAAAGCCUGACGGAGCAACGCCGCGUGUGGGAAGAAAGCUCUUGGGCUGUAAACCACUUUUCUCAGGGAAGAAGCUCUGACGGUACCUGAGGAAAUCAGCCUCGGCUAACUCCGUGCCAGCAGCCGCGGUAAUACGGAGGAGGCAAGCGUUAUCCGGAAUUAUUGGGCGUAAAGGGUCCGCAGGGGGCUCAUCAAGUCUGCUGUUAAAGGUCGGAGCUUAACUCCGAUGUAGCAGUGGAAACUGGUGAGCUAGAGGGCGACAGAGGUAGAGGGAAUUCCCAGUGUAGCGGUGAAAUGCGUAGAGAUUGGGAAGAACACCGGUGGCGAAAGCGCUCUACUGGGUCGCACCUGACCCUCAGGGACGAAAGCUAAGGGAGCGAAAGGGAUUAGAUACCCCUGUAGUCUUAGCUGUAAACGAUGGAUACUAGGGCGUGGUUGGUAUCAACUCCAGCCGUGCCGAAGCUAACGCGUUAAGUAUCCCGC